GACGAACGCUGGCGGCGUGCUUAACACAUGCAAGUCGAACGGAAAGGCCCUGCUUUUGUGGGGUGCUCGAGUGGCGAACGGGUGAGUAACACGUGGGUAACCUGCCCUUGACUUUGGGAUAACUUCAGGAAACUGGGGCUAAUACCGGAUAGGAGCUCCUGCUGCAUGGUGGGGGUUGGAAAGUUUCGGCGGUUGGGGAUGGACUCGCGGCUUAUCAGCUUGUUGGUGGGGUAGUGGCUUACCAAGGCUUUGACGGGUAGCCGGCCUGAGAGGGUGACCGGCAACAUUGGGACUGAGAUACGGCCCAGACUCCUACGGGAGGCAGCAGUGGGGAAUAUUGCACAAUGGGCGGAAGCCUGAUGCAGCAACGCCGCGUGCGGGAUGACGGCCUUCGGGUUGUAAACCGCUUUCGCCUGUGACGAAGCGUGAGUGACGGUAAUGGGUAAAGAAGCACCGGCUAACUACGUG
This 468-nucleotide ribosomal RNA is filed under the name uncultured bacterium. RNAcentral describes it as "partial 16S ribosomal RNA". It matches the Rfam family "Bacterial small subunit ribosomal RNA", at positions 28 to 507 of the family's 1533-position model. The record is from RNAcentral.